GUGGGAAGGCUCAGACAGCCAGGAUGUUGGCUUAGAAGCAGCCAUCAUUUAAAGAAAGCGUAAUAGCUCACUGGUCGAGUCGGCCUGCGCGGAAGAUGUAACGGGGCUAAGUAGUAAACCGAAGCUGCGGCAAUAUACUUUUGUAUAUUGGGUAGGGGAGCGUUCUGUAAGCGGUUGAAGGUGUGUGGUAACGCAUGCUGGACGUAUCAGAAGUGCGAAUGCUGACAUGAGUAACGAUAAAGGGGGUGAAAAACCUCCUCGCCGGAAGACCAAGGGUUCCUGUCCAACGUUAAUCGGGGCAGGGUAAGUCGACCCCUAAGGCGAGGCCGAAAGGCGUAGUCGAUGGGAAACGGGUUAAUAUUCCCGUACUUCUUACAAUUGCGAUGGGGGGACGGAGAAGGCUAGGUGGGCCUGGCGACGGUUGUCCAGGUUCAAGUGCGUAGGCUUAAGAGUUAGGUAAAUCCGGCUCUUUCUAAGGCUGAGACACGACGUCGAGCAUCUACGGAUGUGAAGUCAUUGAUGCCAUGCUUCCAGGAAAAGCCUCUAAGCUUCAGAUUGUA
RNAcentral lists this ribosomal RNA (560 nucleotides) under Vibrio parahaemolyticus. RNAcentral describes it as "partial 23S ribosomal RNA". It matches the Rfam family "Bacterial large subunit ribosomal RNA", at positions 1075 to 1636 of the family's 2925-position model. The record is from RNAcentral. Lineage: Bacteria; Pseudomonadati; Pseudomonadota; Gammaproteobacteria; Vibrionales; Vibrionaceae.